Molecule: long non-coding RNA, 355 nt
Organism: Megalops cyprinoides (Indo-Pacific tarpon)
Lineage: Eukaryota; Metazoa; Chordata; Actinopteri; Elopiformes; Megalopidae
Exons: 5
Source: RefSeq, a predicted model, not a curated record
UAAAAAGUUUCAGUUAGUGCUGUGGUGGAUGCCUCGUCGUCAGUCUUUGAACUUGCUACGGGAAAGGGAAUUUUUCACGGAGUGCUUGCUGUUUGCAUUGCUCGGGUUUUCCCCCUGAUCUCCUACACAUUUUCAGUUGUUUGAAUUGCGCGGGUGUUCCCUCUGAUCUCCUACACAUUUUUCAGCCAUUCACAGGUUCGGCGUCCACUGCCUCUAACCGGUUAGCUGUGGAACUGCAUCAGCUCUCCAACAAAGCCAGUCAAUGGGUGAAAGGAUCAAGCCAGCUGGAGACCUUUUUUUCCAGAAGAGGGGGAUGUCGUCAAUGUUUCGCACUUUACAAUAAACUUUUAUGAAA